UGGGGAAUAUUGCACAAUGGGGGAAACCCUGAUGCAGCGACGCCGCGUGAACGAAGAAGGUAUUCGUAUCGUAAAGUUCUGUCCUAUGGGAAGAUAAUGACAGUACCAUAGAAGAAAGCUCCGGCUAAAUACGUGCCAGCAGCCGCGGUAAUACGUAUGGAGCGAGCGUUGUCCGGAAUUAUUGGGCGUAAAGGGUACGCAGGCGGUUUAAUAAGUCGAAUGUUAAAGAUCGGGGCUCAACCCCGUAAAGCAUUGGAAACUGAUAAACUAGAGUAGUUGAGAGGAAAGUGGAAUUCCUAGUGUAGUGGUGAAAUACGUAGAUAUUAGGAGGAAUACCAGUAGCGAAGGCGACUUUCUGGACACAAACUGACGCUGAGGUACGAAAGCGUGGGGAGCAAACAGG
This 403-nucleotide ribosomal RNA is filed under the name Actinomycetes bacterium. RNAcentral's name for it is "Actinobacteria bacterium partial 16S ribosomal RNA". It matches the Rfam family "Bacterial small subunit ribosomal RNA", at positions 355 to 776 of the family's 1533-position model. The record is from RNAcentral. Lineage: Bacteria; Bacillati; Actinomycetota; Actinomycetes.